Molecule: unclassified non-coding RNA, 273 nt
Filed under: Venturiaceae sp.
Lineage: Eukaryota; Fungi; Ascomycota; Dothideomycetes; Venturiales; Venturiaceae
Description: partial contains 5.8S ribosomal RNA, internal transcribed spacer 2, and large subunit ribosomal RNA
Rfam family: 5.8S ribosomal RNA (bases 1-71)
Source: RNAcentral
GUGAGUCAUCGAAUCUUUGAACGCACAUUGCGCCCCCUGGUAUUCCGGGGGGCACACCUGUUCGAGCGCCAUUUCAACCCUCAAGCCCUGCUUGGUGAUGGGCCCCGCCUACGGGCGGGCCCGAAACUCGUGGGCGUCGUCGUUCGGCUCCAAGCGUAGCAAAACCCUCGCUUGGGGUCCCGGACGGAGGCCGCCCGGAACGAAUUUUUACAAGGUUGGCCUCGGAUCAGGUGGGGAUACCCGCUGAACUUAAGCAUAUCAAUAAGCGGAGGA